CCUACGGGAGGCAGCAGUGAGGAAUAUUGGUCAAUGGCCGGAAGGCUGAACCAGCCAAGCCGCGUGAAGGACGAAGGUGCCAAGCAUUGUAAACUUCUUUUGUCAAGGGACAAAAUCAGGCUCGAGAGCCUGACCGUGGGUACUUGAAGAAAAAGCAUCGGCUAACUCCGUACCAGCAGCCGCGGUACUACGGAGGAUGCGAGCGUUAUCCGGAUUUAUUGGGUUAAAAGGGUGCGUAGGCGGGCUGUUAAGUCAGCGGUAAAAGCCCGGGGCUCAACCCCGGCGAGCCGUUGAAACUGGCUGUCUUGAGAUGUCGAGAGGUAUGCGGAAUGCGCAGUGUAGCGGUGAAAUGCUUAGAUAUUGCGCAGAACUCCGAUUGCGAAGGCAGCAUACCGGCGGCGAUCUGACGCUGAGGCACGAAAGCGUGGGUAUCGAACAGGAUUAGAUACCCCAGUAGUC
This 459-nucleotide ribosomal RNA is filed under the name uncultured bacterium. RNAcentral's name for it is "partial 16S ribosomal RNA". It matches the Rfam family "Bacterial small subunit ribosomal RNA", at positions 338 to 795 of the family's 1533-position model. The record is from RNAcentral.